UGCAUACAAUAAGCGGAGGAAAAGAAACUAACAAGGAUUCCCCUAGUAACGGCGAGCGAAGCGGGAAGAGCUCAAAUUUGAAAGCUGGCACCUUCGGUGUCCGCGUUGUAAUCUCGAGACGUGUUUUCCGUGUGGCGCUAUGGACAAGUCCCUUGGAACAGGGCAUCGUAGAGGGUGAAAAUCCCGUACUUGCCAUGGCUGUACCAUGCUUUGUGAUACACGCUCUAAGAGUCGAGUUGUUUGGGAUUGCAGCUCAAAAUGGGUGGUAGACUCCAUCUAAAGCUAAAUAUCGGGGAGAGACCGAUAGCGAACAAGUACCGUGAGGGAAAGAUGAAAAGCACUUUGGAAAGAGAGUUAAAAGUACGUGAAAUUGUCGAAAGGGAAGCGCUUGAAGUCAGCCAUGCUGCUUGAGACUCAGCCUUGCUUUUGCUUGGUGUAUUUCUCGGUAGCAAGCCAGCAUUGGUUCGAGUCGUCGGAGAAGGGUAUGAGAAAUGUGGCAUCCUCGGAUGUGUUAUAGACUUGUACUGGAUACGACGAUUUGGAUCAAGGAACGCAGUGUGCCUCUGGCGGGUCUUCGGACACCUUCACACUUAGGAUGCGGCGUAAGGCUUUAAGCGGGGUUUUAAACCGGCCCCUUUUAA
RNAcentral lists this ribosomal RNA (641 nucleotides) under Malassezia pachydermatis. RNAcentral's name for it is "LSU rRNA". It matches the Rfam family "Eukaryotic large subunit ribosomal RNA", at positions 37 to 657 of the family's 3401-position model. Lineage: Eukaryota; Fungi; Basidiomycota; Malasseziomycetes; Malasseziales; Malasseziaceae. The record is from RNAcentral.